AAUCCAUAGGUUAAUGAGGCGAACCGGGGGAACUGAAACAUCUAAGUACCCCGAGGAAAAGAAAUCAACCGAGAUUCCCCCAGUAGCGGCGAGCGAACGGGGAGGAGCCCAGAGCCUGAAUCAGCAUGUGUGUUAGUGGAAGCGUCUGGAAAGGCGCGCGAUACAGGGUGACAGCCCCGUACACAAAAGCGCAUGUGCUGUGAGCUCGAUGAGUAGGGCGGGACACGUGGUAUCCUGUCUGAAUAUGGGGGGACCAUCCUCCAAGGCUAAAUACUCCUGACUGACCGAUAGUGAACCAGUACCGUGAGGGAAAGGCGAAAAGAACCCCGGCGAGGGGAGUGAAAAAGAACCUGAAACCGUGUACGUACAAGCAGUGGGAGCACCCUUUGGGUGUGACUGCGUACCUUUUGUAUAAUGGGUCAGCGACUUAUAUUCUGUAGCAAGGUUAACCGAAUAGGGGAGCCGGAGGGAAACCGAGUCUUAAUUGGGCGUUAAGUUGCAGGGUAUAGACCCGAAACCCGGUGAUCUAGCCAUGGGCAGGUUGAAGGUUGGGUAACACUAACUGGAGGACCGAACCGACUAAUGUUGAAAAAUUAGCGGAUGACCUGUGGCUGGGGGUGAAAGGCCAAUCAAACCGGGAGAUAGCUGGUUCUCCCCGAAAGCUAUUUAGGUAGCGCCUCGUGAAUUCAUCUCCGGGGGUAGAGCACUGUUUCGGCUAGGGGGCCAUCCCGGCUUACCAACCCGAUGCAAACUGCGAAUACCGGAGAAUGUUAUCACGGGAGACACACGGCGGGUGCUAACGUCCGUCGUGAAGAGGGAAACAACCCAGACCGCCAGCUAAGGUCCCAAAGUCAUGGUUAAGUGGGAAACGAUGUGGGAAGGCCCAGACAGCCAGGAUGUUGGCUUAGAAGCAGCCAUCAUUUAAAGAAAGCGUAAUAGCUCACUGGUCGAGUCGGCCUGCGCGGAAGAUGUAACGGGGCUAAACCAUGCACCGAAGCUGCGGCAGCGACACUGUGUGUUGUUGGGUAGGGGAGCGUUCUGUAAGCCUGUGAAGGUGUGUCGUGAGGCAUGCUGGAGGUAUCAGAAGUGCGAAUGCUGACAUAAGUAACGAUAAAGCGGGUGAAAAGCCCGCUCGCCGGAAGACCAAGGGUUCCUGUCCAACGUUAAUCGGGGCAGGGUGAGUCGACCCCUAAGGCGAGGCCGAAAGGCGUAGUCGAUGGGAAACGGGUUAAUAUUCCCGUACUUGGUGUUACUGCGAAGGGGGGACGGAGAAGGCUAUGUUGGCCGGGCGACGGUUGUCCCGGUUUAAGUGUGUAGGUGUGUGUUCCAGGUAAAUCCGGUUCACUUUAACACUGAGGCGUGACGACGAGGCACUACGGUGCUGAAGCAACAAAUGCCCUGCUUCCAGGAAAAGCCUCUAAGCAUCAGGUAACAUCAAAUCGUACCCCAAACCGACACAGGUGGUCAGGUAGAGAAUACCAAGGCGCUUGAGAGAACUCGGGUGAAGGAACUAGGCAAAAUGGUGCCGUAACUUCGGGAGAAGGCACGCUGACACGUAGGUGAAGUGAUUUACUCAUGGAGCUGAAGUCAGUCGAAGAUACCAGCUGGCUGCAACUGUUUAUUAAAAACACAGCACUGUGCAAACACGAAAGUGGACGUAUACGGUGUGACGCCUGCCCGGUGCCGGAAGGUUAAUUGAUGGGGUCAGCGCAAGCGAAGCUCCUGAUCGAAGCCCCGGUAAACGGCGGCCGUAACUAUAACGGUCCUAAGGUAGCGAAAUUCCUUGUCGGGUAAGUUCCGACCUGCACGAAUGGCGUAAUGAUGGCCAGGCUGUCUCCACCCGAGACUCAGUGAAAUUGAACUCGCUGUGAAGAUGCAGUGUACCCGCGGCAAGACGGAAAGACCCCGUGAACCUUUACUAUAGCUUGACACUGAACAUUGAGCCUUGAUGUGUAGGAUAGGUGGGAGGCUUUGAAGUGUGGACGCCAGUCUGCAUGGAGCCGACCUUGAAAUACCACCCUUUAAUGUUUGAUGUUCUAACGUGGACCCGUUACCCGGGUUGCGGACAGUGUCUGGUGGGUAGUUUGACUGGGGCGGUCUCCUCCUAAAGAGUAACGGAGGAGCACGAAGGUUGGCUAAUCCUGGUCGGACAUCAGGAGGUUAGUGCAAUGGCAUAAGCCAGCUUGACUGCGAGCGUGACGGCGCGAGCAGGUGCGAAAGCAGGUCAUAGUGAUCCGGUGGUUCUGAAUGGAAGGGCCAUCGCUCAACGGAUAAAAGGUACUCCGGGGAUAACAGGCUGAUACCGCCCAAGAGUUCAUAUCGACGGCGGUGUUUGGCACCUCGAUGUCGGCUCAUCACAUCCUGGGGCUGAAGUAGGUCCCAAGGGUAUGGCUGUUCGCCAUUUAAAGUGGUACGCGAGCUGGGUUUAGAACGUCGUGAGACAGUUCGGUCCCUAUCUGCCGUGGGCGCUGGAGAACUGAGGGGGGCUGCUCCUAGUACGAGAGGACCGGAGUGGACGCAUCACUGGUGUUCGGGUUGUCAUGCCAAUGGCACUGCCCGGUAGCUAAAUGCGGAAGAGAUAAGUGCUGAAAGCAUCUAAGCACGAAACUUGCCCCGA
RNAcentral lists this ribosomal RNA (2617 nucleotides) under Salmonella enterica subsp. enterica. RNAcentral's name for it is "partial 23S ribosomal RNA". It matches the Rfam family "Bacterial large subunit ribosomal RNA". Lineage: Bacteria; Pseudomonadati; Pseudomonadota; Gammaproteobacteria; Enterobacterales; Enterobacteriaceae. The record is from RNAcentral.